UUAAGGGCGCACGGUGGAUGCCUUGGCACUAGAAGCCGAUGAAGGACGUUACUAACGACGAUAUGCUUUGGGGAGCUGUAAGUAAGCUUUGAUCCAGAGAUUUCCGAAUGGGGAAACCCAGCAUGAGUUAUGUCAUGUUAUCGAUAUGUGAAUACAUAGCAUAUCAGAAGGCACACCCGGAGAACUGAAACAUCUUAGUACCCGGAGGAAGAGAAAGAAAAUUCGAUUCCCUUAGUAGCGGCGAGCGAAACGGGAAGAGCCCAAACCAACAAGCUUGCUUGUUGGGGUUGUAGGACACUCUAUACGGAGUUACAAAGGACGACAUUAGACGAAUCAUCUGGAAAGAUGAAUCAAAGAAGGUAAUAAUCCUGUAGUCGAAAAUGUUGUCUCUCUUGAGUGGAUCCUGAGUACGACGGAGCACGUGAAAUUCCGUCGGAAUCUGGGAGGACCAUCUCCUAAGGCUAAAUACUCUCUAGUGACCGAUAGUGAACCAGUACCGUGAGGGAAAGGUGAAAAGCACCCCGGAAGGGGAGUGAAAUAGAACCUGAAACCGUGUGCUUACAAGUAGUCAGAGCCCGUUAAUGGGUGAUGGCGUGCCUUUUGUAGAAUGAACCGGCGAGUUACGAUUUGAUGCAAGGUUAAGCAGUAAAUGUGGAGCCGUAGCGAAAGCGAGUCUGAAUAGGGCGUUUAGUAUUUGGUCGUAGACCCGAAACCAGGUGAUCUACCCUUGGUCAGGUUGAAGUUCAGGUAACACUGAAUGGAGGACCGAACCGACUUACGUUGAAAAGUGAGCGGAUGAACUGAGGGUAGCGGAGAAAUUCCAAUCGAACCUGGAGAUAGCUGGUUCUCUCCGAAAUAGCUUUAGGGCUAGCCUCAAGUGAUGAUUAUUGGAGGUAGAGCACUGUUUGGACGAGGGGCCCCUCUCGGGUUACCGAAUUCAGACAAACUCCGAAUGCCAAUUAAUUUAACUUGGGAGUCAGAACAUGGGUGAUAAGGUCCGUGUUCGAAAGGGAAACAGCCCAGACCACCAGCUAAGGUCCCAAAAUAUAUGUUAAGUGGAAAAGGAUGUGGCGUUGCCCAGACAACUAGGAUGUUGGCUUAGAAGCAGCCAUCAUUUAAAGAGUGCGUAAUAGCUCACUAGUCGAGUGACACUGCGCCGAAAAUGUACCGGGGCUAAACAUAUUACCGAAGCUGUGGAUUGUCCUUUGGACAAUGGUAGGAGAGCGUUCUAAGGGCGUUGAAGCAUGAUCGUAAGGACAUGUGGAGCGCUUAGAAGUGAGAAUGCCGGUGUGAGUAGCGAAAGACGGGUGAGAAUCCCGUCCACCGAUUGACUAAGGUUUCCAGAGGAAGGCUCGUCCGCUCUGGGUUAGUCGGGUCCUAAGCUGAGGCCGACAGGCGUAGGCGAUGGAUAACAGGUUGAUAUUCCUGUACCACCUAUAAUCGUUUUAAUCGAUGGGGGGACGCAGUAGGAUAGGCGAAGCGUGCGAUUGGAUUGCACGUCUAAGCAGUAAGGCUGAGUAUUAGGCAAAUCCGGUACUCGUUAAGGCUGAGCUGUGAUGGGGAGAAGACAUUGUGUCUUCGAGUCGUUGAUUUCACACUGCCGAGAAAAGCCUCUAGAUAGAAAAUAGGUGCCCGUACCGCAAACCGACACAGGUAGUCAAGAUGAGAAUUCUAAGGUGAGCGAGCGAACUCUCGUUAAGGAACUCGGCAAAAUGACCCCGUAACUUCGGGAGAAGGGGUGCUCUUUAGGGUUAACGCCCAGAAGAGCCGCAGUGAAUAGGCCCAAGCGACUGUUUAUCAAAAACACAGGUCUCUGCUAAACCGUAAGGUGAUGUAUAGGGGCUGACGCCUGCCCGGUGCUGGAAGGUUAAGAGGAGUGGUUAGCUUCUGCGAAGCUACGAAUCGAAGCCCCAGUAAACGGCGGCCGUAACUAUAACGGUCCUAAGGUAGCGAAAUUCCUUGUCGGGUAAGUUCCGACCCGCACGAAAGGCGUAACGAUUUGGGCACUGUCUCAACGAGAGACUCGGUGAAAUCAUAGUACCUGUGAAGAUGCAGGUUACCCGCGACAGGACGGAAAGACCCCGUGGAGCUUUACUGUAGCCUGAUAUUGAAAUUCGGCACAGCUUGUACAGGAUAGGUAGGAGCCUUUGAAACGUGAGCGCUAGCUUACGUGGAGGCGCUGGUGGGAUACUACCCUAGCUGUGUUGGCUUUCUAACCCGCACCACUUAUCGUGGGGGGAGACAGUGUCAGGCGGGCAGUUUGACUGGGGCGGUCGCCUCCUAAAAGGUAACGGAGGCGCUCAAAGGUUCCCUCAGAAUGGUUGGAAAUCAUUCAUAGAGUGUAAAGGCAUAAGGGAGCUUGACUGCGAGACCUACAAGUCGAGCAGGGUCGAAAGACGGACUUAGUGAUCCGGUGGUUCCGCAUGGAAGGGCCAUCGCUCAACGGAUAAAAGCUACCCCGGGGAUAACAGGCUUAUCUCCCCCAAGAGUUCACAUCGACGGGGAGGUUUGGCACCUCGAUGUCGGCUCAUCGCAUCCUGGGGCUGUAGUCGGUCCCAAGGGUUGGGCUGUUCGCCCAUUAAAGCGGUACGCGAGCUGGGUUCAGAACGUCGUGAGACAGUUCGGUCCCUAUCCGUCGUGGGCGUAGGAAAUUUGAGAGGAGCUGUCCUUAGUACGAGAGGACCGGGAUGGACAUACCUCUGGUGUACCAGUUGUCGUGCCAACGGCAUAGCUGGGUAGCUAUGUGUGGACGGGAUAAGUGCUGAAAGCAUCUAAGCAUGAAGCCCCCCUCAAGAUGAGAUUUCCCAACUUCGGUUAUAAGAUCCCUCAAAGAUGAUGAGGUUAAUAGGUUCGAGGUGGAAGCAUGGUGACAUGUGGAGCUGACGAAUACUAAUCGAUCGAAGACUUAAUC
Molecule: ribosomal RNA, 2911 nt
Filed under: Staphylococcus aureus
Lineage: Bacteria; Bacillati; Bacillota; Bacilli; Caryophanales; Staphylococcaceae
Description: bacterial LSU rRNA
Rfam family: Bacterial large subunit ribosomal RNA
Source: RNAcentral